UACGUAGGGUGCGAGCGUUAAUCGGAAUUACUGGGCGUAAAGCGUGCGCAGGCGGCCGCGCAAGUCGAGUGUGAAAGCCCCGAGCUUAACUUGGGAAUUGCGCUCGAAACUACGUGGCUGGAGUGUGGCAGAGGAAGGUGGAAUUCCAGGUGUAGCGGUGAAAUGCGUAGAGAUCUGGAGGAACACCGAUGGCGAAGGCAGCCUUCUGGGCCAACACUGACGCUCAUGCACGAAAGCGUGGGGAGCAAACAGG
RNAcentral lists this ribosomal RNA (253 nucleotides) under uncultured bacterium. RNAcentral describes it as "partial 16S ribosomal RNA". It matches the Rfam family "Bacterial small subunit ribosomal RNA", at positions 524 to 776 of the family's 1533-position model. The record is from RNAcentral.